CGGCGGACGGGUGAGUAAUGCCCAGGAAUCUGCCUGGUAGUGGGGGACAACGUUUCGAAAGGAACGCUAAUACCNCAUACGUCCUACGGGAGAAAGCAGGGACCUUCGGGCCUUGCGCGAUUGAAUGAGCCGAUGUCGGAUUAGCUAGUUGGCGGGGUAAAGGCCCACCAAGGCGACGAUCGUAGCUGGUCUGAGAGGAUGAUCAGCCACACUGGAACUGAGACACGGUCCAGACUCCUACGGGAGGCAGCAGUC
RNAcentral lists this ribosomal RNA (255 nucleotides) under uncultured Pseudomonas sp. Its description in RNAcentral is "partial 16S ribosomal RNA". It matches the Rfam family "Bacterial small subunit ribosomal RNA", at positions 96 to 355 of the family's 1533-position model. The record is from RNAcentral. Lineage: Bacteria; Pseudomonadati; Pseudomonadota; Gammaproteobacteria; Pseudomonadales; Pseudomonadaceae.